CAGCCUGAUCCCACAACCUUGCAUUAGCAUACAGUUAAUAAUACAUGGAAGAGCUCUUCUUACACCAGUACAUUUAAUAAUACAUGGAAGAGCUCUUCUUACACCAGUACAUGUAUGGAAAGGCUGAGAAAUUGCAUCAGCAAGGGGGGGAAGGGGAGGGGGGGAGCACCACCACUAAGAGGACCAAAAGAGGAGUAUAGGGAAGCAAAUACAAAUAUUAAAGUCAACUGUUGUCGUAGGAUGAAAAAGAGAAGACAUUGAUAUGUUUGUGUUGUAAG
Molecule: long non-coding RNA, 278 nt
Organism: Lycium ferocissimum
Lineage: Eukaryota; Viridiplantae; Streptophyta; Magnoliopsida; Solanales; Solanaceae
Exons: 2
Source: RefSeq, a predicted model, not a curated record